This 493-nucleotide ribosomal RNA is filed under the name uncultured bacterium. Its description in RNAcentral is "partial 16S ribosomal RNA". It matches the Rfam family "Bacterial small subunit ribosomal RNA", at positions 30 to 523 of the family's 1533-position model. The record is from RNAcentral.
AUUGAACGCUGGCGGCAUGCCUUACACAUGCAAGUCGAACGGUAACAGGUUAAGCUGACGAGUGGCGAACGAGUGAGUAAUAUAUCGGAACGUGCACAGUCGUGGGGGAUAACGUAGAGAAAGCUACGCUAAUACCGCAUACGAUCUACGGAUGAAAGCGGGGGAUCGCAAGACCUCGCGCGAUUUGAGCGGCCGAUAUCAGAUUAGGUUGUGUGUGAGGUAAAGGCUCACCAAGCCUGCGAUCUGUAGCUGGUCUGAGAGGACGACCAGCCACACUGGAACUGAGACACGGGCCAGACUCUUACGGGAGGCAGCAGUGGGGAAUUUUGGACAAUGGACGCAAGUCUGAUCCAGCAAUGCCGCGUGCAGGACGAAGGCCUUCGGGUUGUAAACUGCUUUUGUACGGAACGAAACGGCGAGCUCUAAUACAGUUUGCUAAUGACGGUACCGUAAGAAUAAGCACCGGCUAACUACGUGCCAGCCGCCGCGGUAA